GAAAAGAUAAGCUAAAAUACAAGCUUACGGGCUCAUACCCCGUCCAUGAAACCUCUUUCUCUUUUCA
This 67-nucleotide transfer RNA is filed under the name Macrobrachium bullatum. RNAcentral's name for it is "tRNA-Met". Lineage: Eukaryota; Metazoa; Arthropoda; Malacostraca; Decapoda; Palaemonidae. The record is from RNAcentral.